Long non-coding RNA from Bufo gargarizans (Asiatic toad), 565 nucleotides. RefSeq lists it as uncharacterized. The record is from RefSeq and is a predicted model, not a curated record. NCBI's taxonomy places the organism in Eukaryota, Metazoa, Chordata, Amphibia, Anura, Bufonidae. The transcript has 2 exons.
GUCCGUUUGCAUGCAGAUUGCCGGAUCCGGCAGUGUGAAAGUAGCCUAAAAUGUGUGAAAAAAAGCUAUCCGCCUAUAGAAGAACACAGUAUAUACAGAGAGGCUUUACUCAUCUUUUCGGUGAUUUUCCUAUUUACUAUAAAAGAUAUACAAUAGGCCAAGUUGUGACAAACUAGAGCUAUAUUUAAGGAAUGUUGGAGUUUCUGCAGGAACUAUUCCUAUACAGAUUUCUAUAAGCUUCCAGCUCCUUCAGCAGCUGCUGGUUAUGCAUCUCCAGGAAGGCAUUGUGGCUCUCCAGGCAUCUAAUGUACUCUUUCCUCCUGAGUCGACAUGCCUUCGCUGCUUCCCUGCAAGCGGUGAAAGGCAAAAAUAUCAAAAAAUAAAAUGAUGCAUGCAAUUAAUUAUAUAAAAUACACUAUCUUACAAAGAAUUAAAAUAAUUCAUAUUGUGAUUUACACUCCUGAUUCGUCGGAAACCUAAAUGAACGGGACUUCCUCCCAGACUCAUCGCAGUCCACCUUGGAGUCUGAAAUGCAACCGUUAAGGCCAACGACUCUAACCAAGUC